Long non-coding RNA from Pseudopipra pipra, 452 nucleotides. RefSeq lists it as uncharacterized. Lineage: Eukaryota; Metazoa; Chordata; Aves; Passeriformes; Pipridae. The transcript has 4 exons. The record is from RefSeq and is a predicted model, not a curated record.
UCUAAACAUAGCUCCUCUGUUUAUAUCAGCACCAGGCACAACAGGGAGGGCUUAAGCAGGGGCAGAGUGGGGGCGACAUGAGAAGGAAUAACAUCUAUCUGCUCAAUUCGGAAAAAAAAAAUGACAGAGACCACAGCCAGUGACUCAUCAAAGGGCACUAUUUUUCAAGGCUGGAGGUUCAUGCAGUGACUGAUGCAAGUCUCAGCAGACCUUUUUGAGAGGGACUUAACAUGCAUGUCUGUCCUGGAACUGUCUGAAUUUCUUUGCGACAGCACUGAGUAAAAUGGGAUCCCCAUCUGCCUCCUUGUCAUCACCAAACACUGGCAGCAGCCGUGCCUUCUUAUGCCUCGUCUCACAGCAGCUCUAUUGGACAUCUCCUUGAGACAGGUAUAGACUUAUUCUCUCCAAUCUGGCAAUGGACAGACAUGGCAAGACGGUCUGACCUGGUGAAG